ACAGUUCACAGAAAACUCUGAGAAGAAGUUAGCUGUGCUGAACCAUCAUUUCAUUAAACAUCCCGUGAGGUUGCCUGGAGAAAUUCAAGAGACACCAGUCUCCAUCUCAGAUCUUCCUGAUGCAUGGAGUGAAGUUAACACACUUCGUCUGGCUUACAGCACACCAAAGGAAGGACAACCCAAGUUCUUCCUGUUUGCCCUGUCGAGUCGCAGGAAAGCCUACAGCCAUUUCUACUGCCGGAGCA
Molecule: non-coding RNA, 245 nt
Organism: Neolamprologus brichardi
Lineage: Eukaryota; Metazoa; Chordata; Actinopteri; Cichliformes; Cichlidae
Source: RefSeq, a predicted model, not a curated record